CUGCCCGUAGCUCAGUCGGAUAGAGCAACGGCCUUCUAAGCCGUGGGUCAGGGGUUCGAUUCCUCUCGGGCAGGCCA
This 77-nucleotide transfer RNA is filed under the name Ramlibacter rhizophilus. RNAcentral describes it as "tRNA-Arg". It matches the Rfam family "tRNA". Rfam says of the family: Transfer RNA (tRNA) molecules are approximately 80 nucleotides in length. Their secondary structure includes four short double-helical elements and three loops (D, anti-codon, and T loops). Lineage: Bacteria; Pseudomonadati; Pseudomonadota; Betaproteobacteria; Burkholderiales; Comamonadaceae. The record is from RNAcentral.